RNAcentral lists this long non-coding RNA (2435 nucleotides) under Triticum aestivum (bread wheat). RNAcentral describes it as "long non-coding RNA (TAES_LNC006233)". Lineage: Eukaryota; Viridiplantae; Streptophyta; Magnoliopsida; Poales; Poaceae. The record is from RNAcentral.
UAAAAAACGCUCUUAUAUUAUGGGACAGAGGGAGUAGUUACUAGGAACUUGUACAGAACGUCGAGAAUCCAAAACAAAGUGUAGCCGUAGUAGCUAGGAACUUAUACAAAAUGCCGAGAAAUAACUUUUUACUCUCUCAACACAGAAUCCAGUGUGGCAGCUAGGCAGCAGCGCAGAGCCCACAUAUUAUACUUCAACGUAGUAUAACACUAGUUCAACAAUUAUCAAACACCUGGUUGACAUCGAAUUUACACAACUGAACCAGGUUAGGAGCUUUUCAAGGGGUGAUAAUGUGAACAGCCUGUCCUAUGUAUUGUGGUAUACAGUGGCAUCAAAAGGUUACUAGCCAUAGCAUGAACACCUGCAGAAAAAACAUAGAAGUUCAAAGGCUAUUCUAUACCCUGUUAGUAGUAGCAAAAAUUCACAAACCAAACAGACACAAGAAAAAAAAGGCCUCACCGAGAAAAAAUAAGCUAACUUCUAGCCUGUAUCUAAUGGCCGAGGUCGUGGCAAUCCCAGGGUUGCUUGUCGCAGCGGCGGAUGGGGCGGCGGCGUGUGGGGGCUGCCACGAAGAAAAAGUAUUGAUGUUAGCAAAGAAAGAUAGGAUAAAUUAAGGUAUGCCAUUUAGGAAAAUAAAUGAAAGUUUGCUCUGCAUGGCUGCUCCAACAAAAUAAAUUUCUUCAUUUCUGGUACCUACUUUUUGUAUUGCAGGUAGAAUUUUCAGUAAUGUACGCAAUCAUCCAAGAAACAAAGCAGUACCUCAAGUCUCUGUAGUUCAAGUUCCACAAAUCACUAGUCCAUGUAUUUCUAGUGCAAGUGUGUUUCGACUGAGCCAUCAAAAAAUCUUUUUUUAACCUGAAAGUGGUGAGGGAAAUAAGGCAAAACGUUGUAUAUGAAUUAAAAAACAUAACUGGAUUACUACUGGCUAGUGACUGAGCAUAUGCCCAUGAAGAAUUAACUACUGAUCAAACAGCCACAUGCUCUGGUUUCACUCCUCUAAUAGCAAGUACGCAGUAGUCCAAGAUGAAAACAGACUGAAGAAUAAGACAUCAGUUCUAACUAACAAGAAGCAAUUCACCUCCUCCUUCUAUAGUUGUAUCCAUUAGCGGAUGUUUUAACUGCUCUGUCGAUGAUACUCUGGUUUAACUGCUCCAUAUUUCUUUUUUAACAACAUAUGAAAUGAACAGCUAAUCAAAAUUAGAAAGGGACUCUUUUUUUAUGCAGACCCAAUUGUUUAUUUAACAUAAUAUAAGACGAAGAACAGAGAAGCAUUCAUACCAACAUUACUAAAUUGCAAACAAUAUUGUAGAAACAAACAUCAGAGCUACCUAUCGACAGUCCAAGUACACACCUAAUGAAGAAAUCGAUUCCAAGCUCCAAGUGCUGUAGCAGCCUAUGGCAAAGCUAGCAAAUAACAACAGCUUAACCCAGCAAAAGGGCACAACACAGAGCAACUGUAGUAGUGUAGCGGAUUUAGAAUGUUCAGAUUUACAUGGUCUUCAUCUAGCAGCAGAUUUACACAGAGGAGUAGCAACAAUUCAGAGGUUCAAGUAAGAGACGAUGGGAAGGUCGACCAGACAAGCCAAAGAAGGUCACCUGUGAUGGAUGCUGAGGCAGGGGUUGCAGAGGCGAUAGCGAGAGUCCUCCGCCGAGGGGCGCGAGCAGCUGGAGGAAGAGGAAGCCGCCACUGGCUGCGUGGGAGAAGGCCCGAGGUGGUGUAGGCUCUUGGCGACGCCAGAGGUGAGGAGCGGCGCCGGCGGUGGGGUGCGUGGCUGCGGGACGGUCUGUUGGAGGGAGAAGGGAGGAGGUGUCAAGGUGAGGCGCGGUGAGCUGCUCCUAGUGCCGGCGCCCCUUGUUCUGCUCCUCCCGGUGGUGGUGCCUCUGCCCUGUGUUCCUCCGUCCCGGGGGAGCUCGGGCAAGACCGGAUCCGCGCGCAGAGGGGGACAUCCCGGUGGUGGUGGGCGGCGGCGUGGUGGCGCACGUCGCUGGGGCUUUUGGAUGCGGGAGAGGGAGGGGUGGCGGUUGAGGCGAUGACCUCGGCGUUCCUUGACACGGCGUCGGAGCUCGUCAAGGAUCCAGGGGAGGGGAUGGCGCGGGGAUGCGUGGAGCCAGGAAAGGGGGAGCUCGCGUCGCCAGGGCGGAGGACAUCGCCGGGAUCCGGUCAGAUUCGACCGGAAGUUCAGGGCGCGGCUCUCCGGGGGCCGGGGCUUUCGCCGGAUGCAGGAGGCGAUGCAGGUUGGGAGGGGCAGCGCCGGAGGGAUGCAGGCAGGGGUGAAGUUUGGGAGGGGCGGCGCCGGGCGCGGUGAAGGUUGGGACGGGCGGCGCCGGUGACGGUGAAGGUUGGGAGGGGCGACGCCGGCGGGGGUGGGUUGGUCGGGCUGCACCGCGCGUGGUAGUGGGGGAGAGGGCGGCAGGUGGGUGCGGGUAGUGGGGCG